UGUUUAGUGAAGCACAUAAAAAAAAAAAAAAAAAAAAAGGUAGGAGAAAGUGAAGGAGUGGUGGCCGAAAGAAAGAGGGAAGCAAAAGAAUAGCCGCACCUUCCGUUUUGACAUGUUAUUCGGUAGAAGGUGGUGACGGAGAAUUGGAGGGAAUAUCCAUUGACCCAGAGAUCUAGUUUCAUUCUUCCUGCACAACCACAACCAAAGAUCUGAAUCAUGUGGUAAUUUAAAGUAAACAUUUCUUCGUUGGCUCUGCUGCAAUGUGAUUCAAACUGCAGAAGAUGGGGUGCGCAGGAUUGUUUUGUAACAUGGGAAAACUAUUUUUGCUCCGGCUAUGAUAUAUAGGGUAUGAGAUGCAUAUAAACCUUCAACACGUCCUCCAAUUUUGAGGACUGAUGACCAAUUGGUUCAGGACCAGAGGACUGUGGCUUAUCAGUUUGCCGCAGUAUGUAUACAGUUCUGAUCUUUAUGGCAGUAUUAUCUUUUUUCUUCAUUGAUUUUCCACAAGGUUGAUGUUGUAACAUUUUGUAGCAGAUUCUGCAAUUGCUUAUCUGGCACAUUCCACGUUUUAUUUUCAUUUUCUGGUAGACAA
This is a long non-coding RNA of Vigna radiata var. radiata (mung bean), 592 nucleotides long. RefSeq lists it as uncharacterized. The record is from RefSeq and is a predicted model, not a curated record. The transcript is spliced from 2 exons. NCBI's taxonomy places the organism in Eukaryota, Viridiplantae, Streptophyta, Magnoliopsida, Fabales, Fabaceae.